This 497-nucleotide ribosomal RNA is filed under the name uncultured bacterium. Its description in RNAcentral is "partial 16S ribosomal RNA". It matches the Rfam family "Bacterial small subunit ribosomal RNA", at positions 28 to 507 of the family's 1533-position model. The record is from RNAcentral.
GAUGAACGAUGGCGGCGUGCCUAAUACAUGCAAGUCGAGCGAACGGACGAGAAGCUCGCUUCUCUGAUGUUAGCGGCGGACGGGUGAGUAACACGUGGAUAACCUACCUAUAAGACUGGGAUAACUUCGGGAAACCGGAGCUAAUACCGGAUAAUAUUUUGAACCGCAUGGUUCAAAAGUGAAAGACGGUCUUGCUGUCACUUAUAGAUGGAUCCGCGCUGCAUUAGCUAGUUGGUAAGGUAACGGCUUACCAAGGCAACGAUGCAUAGCCGACCUGAGAGGGUGAUCGGCCACACUGGAACUGAGACACGGUCCAGACUCCUACGGGAGGCAGCAGUAGGGAAUCUUCCGCAAUGGGCGAAAGCCUGACGGAGCAACGCCGCGUGAGUGAUGAAGGUCUUCGGAUCGUAAAACUCUGUUAUUAGGGAAGAACAUAUGUGUAAGUAACUGUGCACAUCUUGACGGUACCUAAUCAGAAAGCCCCGGCUAACUACGUG